GCCAUAUAGUGGUCAGUGCUAAGACGACAAAACAAUACAGGAACGGAAAUAAAAUUGACGUAAAGCCGUCUCGUAUUUUCUACCAAAAACCCUCGGUGAAAAGCUUGCUAAAAGGGAAAUCCGUAAGACUGCAUUUAUCCACAAGCAAGAGACACUGUCGUUGUAACAAACUUCGCGUGAAGAAAAAACUAGCUGGGGGAAAAGUACGAUACUUGAUCAUUGGCAGCAAGGUGGGAGGAAAGCUGCGGGUGUUAGCCAUGAAGAAGAUCGAAGACCGUGACCGACAGUCCAUUGGAAAUAUGGUAAAGAAAUGCAUUUGAACAUUUAUGAUCUAGGACGACACCGUGACCGCGACGGCUAGUAAUACAAUGAAAUUAAUAAAUAUUGUUAAGAAAAAAAUAAUUAAAAUCGCACGGAAGAUUUAGACGUUGUUCUCGGUCUGUUUACAACCGGUAAACCAAAGCUUUUGCGUAUGAAGUGGAUACUCAGAAUAUUGGUUCAGGAUAAAACGCCUCGAUAAAAGCCUCUGUUUUGACCUUUUCAAGCCGUGCUAAAUCCAUACGAUUGAUAAAUAGAGCCUAGAGGAUAUUACACAGCGGCGCGAGGAUAUGACUUUUAUCUUCGAGUGGUGAAAACAAUAUUUUACGAACGAGUGAGUAAAAUAUUGUUUUUAACACAAUAUUUUACGAACGAGUGAGUAAAAUAUUGUUUUUAACACGAGAAGAUAAAAGUGAUAUCUUCAAGCCACCGUGUAAGGGAAAAUUGGAAAAGUGAUGGGGGGGGGGGAUUUUCUAAGAGGCAAUAUAUAUUUUUUUGUACACCUAUAGAAGAAAAUUUUUUUCUCACUUGAUGGCUGGAAAUAUUUUUUUAAGUGAAAUUUAUAGGCUUAUCUAACAAGCAAGGAAUUUUUUUUGCACUAUGCCUGGGAAGAUUUUUUCUCUAAUUUUUUUCUGGGAAUAAUUUUUUUUUGGUUUUGCCGUCCCCAUCACUUUUCUAAUGGUCCGUCCCUAAUGUUCUGUUUAUUAUAUAGUCCCAAGCAAAAAAUUGUGAAAUUUCACGCUCAAAAGCAAAUUGGAAAAAGUCACGUGAUCGAUAUCUUCACCAGUGAAGAUAUGGAAAGUAUCUCGGUGUGUAUUUUUCAGUAUCUCACUCUCUGCUAUAUAAUAACACACGAUAAGCUUUCUUUGCAAUCAUUUAUUUGAAUGAAUUUGUUUCGGCCGUCGCCGUCCCUUUGCCGUCCUACAUCUUAAGGUGUGUAUGGACGACUUGCGCUUUAGACUGAAUUUUAAUCUAAGUAAGAACAACGAAAUCUAUCACCACAGCUAGAAAGAGCGUCUUGGAAUUAGUAAUAUUACAAAGUUUGGUCGCGAAAUGUUGUAAAAUACGGAAAAUAUAGCCCUUCAAAGUUGGCAAAUUUGUAUACUUUUGUAUUACGUGCGUGAAUUGGUAACUAAAUUAGUUACUAAUUUCCGCAAGUAAUAGAAAUGUAUACAAAUUUGCCAACUUCGCAGGGCUAUAAUUUCCGUAUUUUACAACAUUUCGCAACCAAACUUUGCAGUUUUUCUAAUUUUGAUAACUUCUUUCCAAAAAUAUCCUUUGUUAUUCCCAGAUUAAAAAUUUUGCUAAAACGCAAGUCGUCCAUUGAGUGAGGUCAAUUGUGUAAAAAUGUAGUAAAAAUUAGAUUGUAGUAUAUUGUUAGUUCGGAUGUUAACCAGUGAAAUUUAACUACUCGUUAUAUAUCUGUAGAACGGCACAGACACUUUGUUACCUCUGUGCUUAUGUAAACUUAACUAGAACAAUAGUAACGAGGCAUGUGAGUUUUCUAAGUUUAUGACCGCUUGCGUAGCAAGGAUAUGGACAACAAAGUUAGUAAGUGAACUUUCCUGACGAAGAGUUAUCGCUCCAAGGGAAAUGUAAAAGUUCGUAAAAAUUAUUAAAAAGUCAAAAAUGUUUUAGCCAAUCUCAAGUAUCUAUUAAAAAAUAAAUACCCACCCCUGGCCGAAAACGUUACAAAAGGAUACCAUUCAGUUGUCACACAUGUCCUUUACCACUUCUGUGACACGAGUUUGAUAACUGUUUCAAGUGCAAUUUUUUGCUGUCCAAAGUUUCAUGUUGUCUGCACAUGUACUUUCUUUGGUGAUGCCAUUUGUCUCCUGAAAAAUCAGAAAAUAAUCGUAUGACUAUUGUUGACAUUGCUUUUUAGUCUUCAAUAUUUCAUGCUUUGGAAAUGACAAUACAUUUUUAUUACCCAAUUAACCCUUGAGUUGUUUUGUUUUUCAUUUACCCAACCUUUUAUGAUCACUCAAAAUUUUGUUUACUGGACCCUUUUCUCUUUGGUGCCAUCCCUUGUCAUAAAAAAACGAGCAGUCUCUUACUAAGUCACCUGGUUACAUUAAGGGCUAACUAUCAAUGGACUAAUUAAGCUUUUUAAGCCAUCGUAUUAGACUUGCUGUGUUUGAAUAGAUUAUAAAUUCUCUGAUGUUUAUGUUCCAUUAUCUCAGCAGUGGCCUCGCCGUCGGACACCGAGAAAACAUUUAUACAAUUACUUGUGAAACAGUAUCGCCUCGCAAGUUUUUUUGCAUGCUGUGAUGAACAAAU
Non-coding RNA from Paramuricea clavata, 2598 nucleotides. The record is from the annotation of a GenBank genome assembly. Lineage: Eukaryota; Metazoa; Cnidaria; Anthozoa; Malacalcyonacea; Plexauridae.